This is a non-coding RNA of Astyanax mexicanus (Mexican tetra), 846 nucleotides long. The record is from the annotation of a RefSeq genome assembly. NCBI's taxonomy places the organism in Eukaryota, Metazoa, Chordata, Actinopteri, Characiformes, Acestrorhamphidae.
GUUCAGCGUUCCCCAGAGAGCAGAGUCAGUUAUAGAGCAGAGUUAUAUUAGUUUCACCAUCAUGAAGAACCAGCUCACACUCAUACAGUCAGGAGUGUUUAUAGUCCUGUGAGUUUAACACUUCAUGACUGAGAGCUGCUACAGCAACUUCUUCACCCACAGCAGCCAUGACUUUAAUCCCCAUCUUCAUCUGGACCCUGAUCUUCUGCUCUCAAGAGUCCAUAGGUCAGGUGACUGUGACUCAGAGUCCUGCAGUGAAAUCUGCUCUUCCAGGAGACACCGUCACCAUCAGCUGCAGGACCAGUCCUCAGGUGUAUCAGGGCUGGAGUUUUCAGCCUCUUUAUUGGUAUCAGCAGAAACCUGGAGAAGCUCCUAAACUCCUGAUCAAAAAAGCCUCAGAGCUUCAGUCUGGUUUUGCAGCUCGUUUCAGUGGUAGUGGAUCUGGAUCUGACUUCACUCUGACCAUCAGUGGAGUCCAGUCUGAAGAUGCUGCAGAUUAUUACUGCCUGAGUUUUCAUUAUAUCAGCAGCACCAACCUGUUCACACAGUGAUAUAACGCCGUACAAAAACCUCCGUCACUCAGUCGGGCUGCACAGAGACUGCACUAAGAUGGAGGAAGUGAAACAACACAAUCACACACUCUGUGGAGAAAACAAACACAUCACACUAACUCACUGCUAAUAAAAGAAACAUAUAAAAGGCUCGAGAACGCUAAAAAAUACAUUAAUCACUGUGUACAUGAAGAUAUUCUUUGUUGGAAUUAAAUAAAGGCUAUAUGUGUGAAUGUAAAGAUGAUGUAUUAGACUGAUUAUAAUAUUAAGAAUAGGUUUAUUGAGGAAAACUUCA